AUUGAACGCUGGCGGCAUGCCUUACACAUGCAAGUCGAACGGCAGCACGGGAGCAAUCCUGGUGGCGAGUGGCGAACGGGUGAGUAAUAUAUCGGAACGUGCCCAGUCGUGGGGGAUAACGUAGCGAAAGCUACGCUAAUACCGCAUACGAUCUAUGGAUGAAAGCGGGGGAUCGCAAGACCUCGCGCGAUUGGAGCGGCCGAUAUCAGAUUAGGUAGUUGGUGAGGUAAGGGCUCACCAAGCCGACGAUCUGUAGCUGGUCUGAGAGGACGACCAGCCACACUGGGACUGAGACACGGCCCAGACUCCUACGGGAGGCAGCAGUGGGGAAUUUUGGACAAUGGCGCAAGCCCUGAUCCAGCAAUGCCGCGUGC
Molecule: ribosomal RNA, 374 nt
Filed under: uncultured bacterium
Lineage: Bacteria
Description: bacterial SSU rRNA
Rfam family: Bacterial small subunit ribosomal RNA
Source: RNAcentral